This 2171-nucleotide long non-coding RNA is filed under the name Piliocolobus tephrosceles (Ugandan red Colobus). RNAcentral's name for it is "lncRNA (ENSPTEG00000004046.1)". Lineage: Eukaryota; Metazoa; Chordata; Mammalia; Primates; Cercopithecidae. The record is from RNAcentral.
ACUACACCAAAAUUCCCAUUAUCUGGUGACAGAGACCCUAAGUUGACUUAUGAUCAAUUUAAAGGUUUAUUUAAAUAUAAUUCUUGUCUUCUUAGUGAACACGAAUUUAAUAAUAGUCAUACAUUAAUGGAUGAUAUGCAUAUGAAUCCUAAAAACCGUUCAGAAUAUUUUAGAUCUAUUUGUGAACCUAGUCCUAGGCAGAAGAAAAAUGAUUCAUCUGCUUUUAUAAAGAAGCUGAAUUCUAAAAUCUUAAGCAGUAACAAUACUAGCAGUAGUACUAAUGAUAGUUAUGGUAGUAGUUAUAAUACGAACUACUCUAACAUGAAAGAAUCUUUUGCAUCUCCUCGACCAAGAAGAAAAAAAAGUGAUAGUGGCUCUAAUGUGUCUACAAAAAAAUUGCUUGCCAGUUUAAAAAAUAAUUCGGAAAAAAGUAGAAAUGAUGAAAAAUUUUUUGCGAAUAACAAUAGUAACAGUCCUAAUAAAAAAUUACGAAAAGCUAAAACUAUGAUAAAUGACAACUAUUAUAAUGGUCAUUCAGCAUAUGACAACAAUGACAUAUAUAGUAAUACUAGUGACCACAGCAUAGAAGCUAAAGAGAAACAAAAUAGACGUGGCAAAACAAACGAAAAAGAAUACACUGUUAAACAAAUUGACUAUGAAAUAAAUCCAAUGUAUGUUGAAAAUAAUGAAAGUGAGAAUACAGAAGAGCAAAACAAAAUGCAACUAUCUAUGCAGGAACUUUCAAAACAGAAACAAAAUCCAUUAGUCACGAAUUAUACAGAAUAUUCUAAAGAAUUGGAUAUAUUGUUUAAUAAAGAUGUUAUUGAUACACCAAUCAUGUUGUUAUGCAUUUAUCAAUACUUAUUAGUUAUAAUGUCUAGAAGGAACCAAAAAAAUCAACCUGUAUUUUAUGAAUUAAUUAAACAAGAAGUUAUAAAUUUAAAUCCUCAUCGUAUUUUUAAUGAUCAACUACUUAAACAGCUAGCUUGGAUAUGUCCAAAUUUAAUACAGUUAAAUAAAGUGACGAUAACAAAAGAGAUUUAUGAGUCUAACCAAACAAUAUAUACCAAUUUUGUUACUGGAAAAAAAGUAGAAGAUAUACAAAUAAGAGAACAUAACGAACAAUUAAAAAAUGUAUAUAAAUAUACUUCAACAGAGAAAUUGGAAAUGCUUAAAAGAAUAAUUAUUAAUUGGGCAAAUGUUAAACACAAUGAAUUUUUAAAAACAAUUGAUAAAAAUUUUUACUCUGCUAAGUAUAAUGAAUUAAAAAAAUGGCAUUCCAAAUUUGAUUUUAAAGAUAUAAUUUUCCCAGUUGUUACUUUAGAAGAAAAUAAAAUGUUAGAACAAUUAACUAAAACACCACAAGAAAGUAAUGCUGAUGAUUUUGAUGUCUUUCAAGACAGUCCAAUAAAAUGUGUUACUCUUGAUUUAAAAAAAGACUGGACAUUUUUAAAAGAAAUGGAUAAAGAAAAAACUAGAACACCAUUAGGUAGAGGUAGAAGAAAAUCUGACUCAAUAACAGAUCAUAAUUUUAUUUGUACACCUAAUAAAACAACAACAGUAACAGUAAGUUCACCCAAAAAACCAGAGAGCAAAGGUAUGAAAGCAAUAAAAGAAGUGGCAAAUAAAAAAAAUAUAUUAAGAAAUAUAAAAAUAGAGUUGGAUAAACAAAAUGAAACGUUAUUAAAUGAAGCGAGAAAAUAUGAAAAUGCUAAAAAUAUAGCAGAAACUAUAUACUAUGAUUUUAUAGUCAAUCAAGACAUUGCAGUUAUUGAUAUACAUACACUUUCAAACAAAAUAUUUAAUUUAUUUAAAAAUACUAAUUCUUUUAUAGCGAGUGAAAGUGUAGUACUUGAAAUAUUACAAAUGUUACCUUCUUAUAUUAGAAACAUUAAUAUAAAACCCGGUAUGACAGAUAAAAACAAACUUAUUGUAACGGUAAAACCCGCUAAAACGAUCAAUCAAUUUAUGCAACCAUUAUUUGAUAAAAUUAAUGAAAUUAACAAAAAAUAUGAACAAUUUAAAAAAAAUCGUGAAACUAGAUUAAUACAAUUAUGGGAAAAAUAUGAUGUUAAUUUCGAGUUGACAGAAAAAAUAAAAAAAAUUUUGUUAUCACCUGGCAACGCCGAUUUAGAUAAAUUGUUACUCUUAUAUCCUAUUAGGGUAGUUUC